CCUACGGGAGGCAGCAGUGGGGAAUAUUGGGCAAUGGGCGCAAGCCUGAACCAGCAACGCAGCGUGAAGGAAGAAGGCUCUAGGGUUGUAAACUUCUUUUGUCAGGGACGAAGCAAGUGACGGUACCUGGCGAAUAAGCAACGGCUAACUACGUGCCAGCAGCCGCGGUAAUACGUAGGUGGCAAGCGUUAUCCGGAUUUACUGGGUGUAAAGGGCGUGUAGGCGGGGAAGCAAGUCAGAUGUGAAAACCACGGGCUCAACCUGUGGCCUGCAUUUGAAACUGUUUUUCUUGAGUGCUGGAGAGGCAAUCGGAAUUCCGUGUGUAGCGGUGAAAUGCGUAGAUAUACGGAGGAACACCAGUGGCGAAGGCGGAUUGCUGGACAGUAACUGACGCUGAGGCGCGAAAGCGUGGGGAGCAAACAGGAUUAGAUACCCUUGUAGUC
RNAcentral lists this ribosomal RNA (443 nucleotides) under uncultured bacterium. RNAcentral's name for it is "partial 16S ribosomal RNA". It matches the Rfam family "Bacterial small subunit ribosomal RNA", at positions 338 to 795 of the family's 1533-position model. The record is from RNAcentral.